This 40216-nucleotide long non-coding RNA is filed under the name Phoenix dactylifera (date palm). Its description in RNAcentral is "long non-coding RNA (PDAC_LNC003594)". The record is from RNAcentral. Lineage: Eukaryota; Viridiplantae; Streptophyta; Magnoliopsida; Arecales; Arecaceae.
UUAUAACAACUAGGUAGCUUUUGUUUUGAAACCCUUUCACUACUAAAUUGAUCCUUGUCUUUCCUCAUGUGCCGUCAUGUGAGACCAUUGAACUUAGUGCCGACCUCCAUUCAAUGCUUACUGGUACGGAACAACAUGUCCCCACACCCGCAUACGUAGAUUGAUGAAGUUGACACACAUCUGUAAUACCCCUACUGCCCUACAUAUUAGUGCUUAUUACAUGAUCAGUUACAGUAUAUGUGAGCAAAGUGUAUUGUAGCAAGUACUAAUAUAUGUGAAUGGAAACAUCACGAGACGGAUGCUUUUGUAUGAGAAUUGCAUUAGUAUCGAAUUUAAUGACUAAUAAGAUCCUAGGUCUAAGUAAAAAAAAAAAGUUCAAGAACUAACUUGCCAAUGCUAGAGUUGUGGCCACCUCAUGCAUCUUUUGACAUCUGCCACCUCAUGCAUCUUUUGACAUCUGCCACCUCAUGCAUCUUUUGACAUCUGCCAGCUCAUGCUCAUCAAAAAUGCUAAGUAUUAAACAACCACCUCAUGCUUGUGCCACCUCUAGUAUAUUUAUUAAUUGCCACUUCAUGCUAAUUUUCAUUAAGCUACCACCUCAUGCUUAUUACUGGUAAAGCAGUGCCUCAUACCAGAAAUUCAGCCACCUAGCUUCUCCUAUACUGGAAACCUAGUUGCUAAUAUCCCAUGGUGAGACACCAAAGGCUUACAAGCCAUCUAUAAAUAGGAGGUUGCAGCACUCUUCCGCCAUUUUUGCAAACCCUACAAGUUCAACCACCUAUAAAGUAGACAACUAUUGAAGGAAAGGAGAGAAAGUAAAGAAGAAGUGAAUACCAAGCAAUCCUCUAAGACGAAAGAAGGUGGUGCAUGAAGUUUUAGAACAGGAAUCAGUAAGUGUCCUGAAAUAGCUGAUGUUCCACUUUACAAGUUAUUUACUUAUGUCCACAGAUUUAGAACCAAGAUCGACAGAACCGUCCCAAACUGGAUGAUUCUUGCUGAUCCGAGCCAUACCGGUGGCUCACCGGUACAGUUCCAGCAACAAAAAUGAGACCCAUUGUUGGAGCCGGAGGAAAAGGAAAGAGAGAGCGAGCGGGGUAGGGAGAGCCGGAGAAGGUGGCGGACGCCAGCGAAGAGUCGGUGGAGGCCGACGGAAGCCGCAAGCGGUCGACGGAGGCUGCGCCAGGGGAAGUCGCGGCCGGUUCUCCUGUUUUAAACAAAACAAAAGUUCGACCACGACUAAAAAAUUUUGCAAUUUUUAAGUGAAGUCGGCAAAGCGCUUGCCGACUUCAUUUAAAAAUCGUAAAAUUAUAAAAUUCCACGAUUUUUAAGUGAAGUCGACAAUAGAUUUGCCGACUUCACUUAAAAAUGCAAAUUUUUUUAGCCGCGGCCGGAGAACAAAACAGAACCAGCCGCUGCCUCGCCUGCUGCAGCCUUCGUCGGCCCUUCGCCAGCGUCCGCCGCCCUCCUCCGGCCCUUCUUCCCUCGCUCGCGCUCUUUCUCUCUUUUCUCUUUCCCAAACUCCUACGGUGUCGUGCCCUCUCUCGGUAUAGGCACGACAUGGCCCAUACCGAGUCGUCCCGCCAGAGAACCGGUAUGGUACCCAAUACCGGUUCCUCUUACCUUAUUUAGAACUCUUAUUCCUUCCAUCUCUUGUUCAACAUUGGCUUCACGAUCUCACUCCUAUUGGAGAUUGAAUCAUCAUAAAGACAUUGAAUUCAGCAAUUGUUUUGUUAUAAGAAAACUCAAAAUUCAAUUUUUAUUAUAAAUGAUCAUAACUUGUAUGAUUUUCUAAAAUCUCUUGUAAACAUAUACAUAAAUUAACUUCAGAAGCUUCAUCCUUGUGUUUUGAAUGAUUUAGCAACAUUUGCAUUUACGACUCCAGCUAAGUUGCCUUAUUCGAAACUUAUAUGGUGCAAGUAUAUUGUUGAACUAUAUGUUAUUAUUAGAACUUAGAAGUGCUUUAACAAUUAUGUAAUAAUGAAAAAUCUCAUAUUCUAAUCAUUGAAAUAAAAAUUAUGGUCAAACAGUGUACCCUUAACCAGUGGAUGUAAUUGUUGGUUUCAACAAGGAUUUUACAUCCCAAUGUGAUGAUGAGACAUCCCACCAUCCCAAGUGUCAGGACAGGACGAGACAAGGACCAAGAAAGAAUAGAUAGGACAUCCGGCGUCCUGAAUAACAUGUCACAUACAAUUCCACAAAAAAGUGGGAUGGCCUCAUCCCCAUACGGUUGGAAUCUUUUAGUUCAAUGAAUCCCUUACCGAUGGGUAUACUAGUAGGGUUCAAUGAAACCCCUAACCACCAGGUAUCGUAGUUGAUCAUUAGUGAACUCCAUUUAGCAAGUAUAAUAAUUGGCAUCGACCAACGGGUACAAGAGUUGGUCUAAGUGAACCCUUAGCUAAUGAAUCAAUGAGUCCAUGACCAACAAGCAUAUAUAGUUGGUCACUAACCAGUUGAUAUUGAAAUAAUAGUAAUAAGUGUUCUAAAGCUUCCAGUGUAUCCAAGUAAUUUUCAAGUAUAUCUCAUUGUAUGUUUUGAGAUAGAGGGAAGCUAAUCUCAACCUUUUCUACCCUGUACCCACCCCACCCUCGAGGGUUGACUACUAAUGGAAUCGAACCCCUACUCCCUUGCCUAAGUAAGGGGUCAUACCAUCCAAGCAAGCACUGAAGGUUGUGUACUCUACCAUAUUCAAGUAUUUCUAGGUGUAUUUUAGUCAAACAAGUGUUUCAUGUUUUCAGCAAUUUUGCACCAAAAGGCAUGUAUCUUGAUGAUACUAUUUGUUUCAAAAUCAUUCAAUAUUUCAAAACAAAGUUAUAUUGGUAAAUGAUUUAUUGAUAUCUCUUACAGAAUAUUAUUAUUAACUAUUUGAGUUUUAAGAAGUAUCGAUCCUUAUUGCUUUCCAAGUUCUAUUGUCCUGAUACUACAUUGUUAGCUAUGUUGAGUAAUGUAGCUCACGCACCUAUUUAGUGUAUUUCAGAGCGAAUAACUUGUUAACUUACCUGACUAGAAGUUUGAAGUAUUUUGGUUCUGCAUAACAGAGCCUACAUUAGAAAAGAUCUUAGUGUCAAAUUCAGGGUGUAUUGCAAGAUAAGGUGUUUUAGAAUUGCCCAUAAUGAACUAGUUUGUGUAUUGUAAUGUACCUAUCAUGAAGGAUGUAAAAAGCAUUACUUUGUGUAUUACUAGACACUGGAUGAAAUUUUAGUUUGCUUCAUUCAAUAAAAUAACCGCCUAUAUCAUAAUCAAAUGACAACAUUUGAUUGGAGAAUAGUAUGCUUCUAUGAUGAUUAAUUAAAGUGAUUUUGAGCCAUUUUCGACUGUAAUUGCAAUCACUCUUGGGACUUGGCAGCGCUGGGUUCUAGUUUAUGGCAGCGGUUUUAUCAUGUGUCAAUACAAGGUACAACAAGCCCCAUGCCAUGCCAGUAUUACACUGGAUCAGUAUUGUACAUCCCAUAGCACUUGGUAUGAUUUAGUAAUAAAACAUUAUAUUUAUAGAAAACAAAAUGACUUUGCAUCCUUAGUUAACUUGACAAUUUCUGAUCACCAAUAUGCAGAAGGACUUAUACAUCUCUUAGAAACAUUUAUUACAUGCUUACCUUCAAUUGGCUUAAAAACCCCACCAAUCAUUUUACCAUUCCUUUUGUUGUUGGGGCCUAAAUAAAACCUAUUCAGGUGGGUUCUACUCUUCAUUUUUUUCUUUCCUUUUCAAUGGUCCCAAUAGGUUCCAUUGAAGAUUACAAGUCUUUCAAGCUUCCUUAAUGGUUUGGAGGACAAAAUAUGUUCCCCCUUGAAUGUAUAUUUUAAAUAAUUCAGAUAAUGUUUUCCUCAAAAUAUUGUUUUCAUAAUUGGUUUCUUUCGAUCAUCUAGAAUUCCACUUACUACAAAUAUUUUGGUUCUCCACUCCAUACCAAUGAUUCGUACCUUCAUGUAAUCUUGUAACAUCCUAGGCCCACCAUCCCAUGACAAAAAUUCUCUUCUCAAGUCACCAAAUGGUACUUUGUAAGUAGAUAGUACGGUACGGGGUGUAUCGUACUAUACCAGUUCAGUACCAAUACCAGUACAUGUGACGUACCGAACUCCGUACCAUAUCGUACCGACACUAUUAUAGGGUUCAGUACCAAGACAGUAAACCUCGUUCUAAAUCCACACCCUUAACAAAGUCCUAGAUAACAAAUACCAUUGUUGUUAUCUCUAUCUUUAUCUCGUGAUCCUCCGCUUAGACUUUAUCAUCUUGAGCUUUAUGCAAGAAAUUUUAUUUUAUUUUUUCCUUUCAUUUCCCUAAUACAACAUAACUUUGAGCCUACAUCAUUGUCUAAGCAUAUCUUCAAGUAUGCUGUCUUUCAACUUUGUAUUAAGAAAGACAAAAGAACACAAGAUAAAUAACAAUUUAUUCUUGACUAGUAUCUUGCACCUGUACUGCUGCAUGUGCUUAUUUGUAAGGAAAACAUUAGCUGGAUAUGAGUCCCAUUGUCAGUAAACAAAAAAUUACAUAAUGGGUCAAACCUCAAAAUCCAUCACAAUGCUGGGCUCUCAGCCUCUCUUUGCACAUGCUUUAGCACACAUGAGAGAAGCAGACAGCUAGACUCAACCCUUUUGCAUUAUACAUUAGAAAAUGUAUGAGUUCAAUUAACUUAUUAUUACACAACUUGUCCUAUACACUUACAGAAAGAUAUCUUCCCAGUACUAAAAAAGAGGGGAAAGUGAGAUGUUAUGUUCGUUGUGCAAUCACCCCCAAUAAUCAAUGAAAGAAACACUUUCAGCAAAAUCUUACCACAUCGUAGAUUCCUUAUUAUUUUUGAGCCUCAUAGACUGAUUUGAUCACUCAAGCAGAAAAAUUUUUGACCAUACAACGGAAUUAUUAAUGUACUAGAAACCAAUACAUAUUAGAACAAAGUUAAAAGGCUCUGUUAAGGCUUCGUUGUUUGACAGUCAAAAAGAAAAGGCAAGAUAUUUGGAACUUGUCAUACCUGAUGCAAUGACAUACUCUCCAUCAGGAGUCACCUUAAUUUUGGUAGUCGCAGUCUCGAACCUCAAAUCCUGGAUUAUGUCCACCCUUUGAAGGUAAUCUAGUUAAUGACAAAAGAAGCAAAUUAUUUAAUCAGUUACAACUCAUGCACUAGGUCAAAUUACAUCAGUCAUUGCCAAAAAUCUCACAACAAAAGACAUUAGGUAACCUAUCAACAAGAAAUUAAGCUCCAAAAAAAGGAAGUGCCAAUCUGAUAUCAAGAACAAAAGACCGAAUCCAACAAAUAGAAGUGAAAAAAAGAAGGAGUACCUUUAUCUUUACGAAGGGCUCUGAGCUUCUUGGGUGGGAGCCAUGUGGGCAGAGAACGCUGGCCCGAGACCGAGUAAAGCUUGACGCCAUUAAUGGAGGUGGACUUGAUGCUACCUCCUCGGGUCGCCAUUAACGAGAACCCUAGAUUUACGAGCUCUCUCUACUCUGCCGCAGGCGCGAGCUUCAGGGUUUGGGAGAAGCGCGGCCGCGAUGGAGCAAGAGAGGGUUUUGGAGAGGCCGGUAGCGGCGGACAGGAUAGGGUUUACAAGGGAUCGGAAGGCAAAUGACUUCGCUCCGUCCCUUUUAGGCCCUUUUCUGGUACAGAUACGGACCGGACCGGACCGGACCGGCAUCAAAGUGGCUAAAGACCCCUAUUCACCUACUCGAUCUACGGUUCAACCGGUCGAACGUUGGCGUACGAAUAAAAAUUGGAAGGCAACCCACGAACCUGUUCCAUCUUUCCUAUUAUUAUAUAUUUUCUUUUCAUAUACACUCUUGUAAAUAUUUGAAAUUAUAUAUCUUUAUAAAUUUAUUAUUUAACUAUAUAUAUUCUUGUAAAUAAUUUGAUCGCAUGUCUAUUCUUAAUCUCACAUGCCGCUCAACUGUUUCAGUUUGACUGGCAUUUAAUUAAAGAUUUUCCUUAUAAAUACCACAACUUAUGCAUAUACCCUUGCAAAUUUUGCUAUUUAUAUAUAUCUUUAUAAAUUAUUUCUUUCCGCAUGCCUAUCUUUAUUAAGUUAAGAAUAUUUCAAUCAUUUCAGCUGUAAAUAACUUGUUUUUUCAUGGUGUCAAAUAGUAUAUUAACUAUAAAUUAGACAUUAAAAAAAUAAUUUAUAAGUGUAUAUAUGAAAAUAGCUAAUUUGCAAUGCAACUUUAGAUAUUUAUAAGAAUAUGCAAGUAAAAAGGACAUAUUAAUAAAUAAUAAUAAAAAAUAUGGAAGACUUAUUUGAAUAAUCUUUCAUUGAAACUACUUAUUUCUCAAACCAACCACUCUUUAGCUUGCUCUACAUACUAUUUUGUAGCAUUAUAAUUUAUAAAUACCUCUUAGUUUUGGUACAGAUCAUCGUAUUCAAGAUAAUUAAAACCUAGAAUUUGCAAAUGAAAAAAAAAAGUCAUAAUUAUUGAUUUAUAUUUAAUUAGGAAUUGUUAAAUAUGUAAAACAUUGCAAAUUAACAAUUGUAAUUGUUAUAGUAACUACACCAUUAUAAGGUAGUUACAUGCAAAGGUGAAAAAUGUUAUAUAGGAAUAGGAAUGAAUAAUUAAAAUUGAAUAUGUAGGCUCAUUUAUAGGAGUGGGCUUCCAAGACCAAUAAAAAUCCUAAUUCCAAAUGAAUACAAUUUUCUGGAACAAAAAUAAAAAGUUAAUAAAGAAAAAUCUUUUCUACAUCUUGUAGGACUUGUAAAGUAAAUGAAGCAUGUUUGAAUAUUCCCACAUGAACAUCCAGUCUCUUGGCCCGACUAACCUAUAUUUUCUAAAUGCUUGUUUUCUAAGUCCCCAUCUAAAUCCUAGCCGGUGGUCCAGUUGGUCUAUAGAACUCGGGUUGAGAGGUAAUAAUUUGAUAUGAGCCAUGGUUAAAUUGGCAACCCAAUUUACGAAUCUUGCAGAAAAUUCAACCUAAUCCUACUGGAUUACCCAAUCAGUAUUUUUGCCAAAUAGUAAGGUGCCUAGUUCGGGCUACAUUGAUUAUGCAAAAUUUUAGUUCUAGUCCAAUGUCACUCAUAUUGUUCUCACUAGCACCAAGUUGUGAUAUGCUGCAGUUUCUUGAUAGAUAAAAAAAAAAAGAAAUAUUCAGUUGAUAAGUUACACACACACUCAUUUCUCUGUUGUGUUAUCCAUCAUGCAUCAUUCAUCAUUUCUCCGUAGUUUAUCAACCAGGUAGAAAAGGAAAAAAAAACACAUAAAAGUCGAAGGAGAAGCAUGUUCAAGAUUUUUCAUUUAUGCACGGUAGAUUACCUUAUACAUUUCUUUUUUUCUGAAGGUGUAUCAGGUUGGUUCCCGCACCUAAAAAAAAUUAUGAAUUCCAAAUAAUUAAUUGUUACUAUGUGAUAGGAAAAGGAUCGAUAAUGAAGAUAUAUUAUUCAUCAGUAGAAAAUAUUUUUUACAGACAUUUCAUCUCGAAAAAGUUCAGUACGAAUGCAUUUUUCAGGGGUUGAAAGAAUAAAUUCUUCCAAAGCUCGAGAGGAAGAGGAUCUUGCAUCAAAACUUUAUAUGGAUUAACCAAUUACAAUUCACCUUCCUAGAAGAUUUUUAUCCCCUUGAACUUAACUGCAUCAGCAUUAAAGUUUUGCAAACCAAAUGUAAUCUGAAAAAUAUAAGUGGCAUUGGUACACCUAUUAAUUAUUGAGCCAGUUUGCCAAAAAAACAUGAAAUUCGCAAUAUCGGUUCUAUCCUCAAUAGUUUCAUUAAGUUUGUACCUUUGAAAAGGUUAACAAAAAAUAUGUUUUAAUAUCGAGCUUUAAAAUUUUUUUUGCAUUUAAGAAUAAUAAUAAUAAAGCAAGAACAAAAUAAUUUUGCCAUGGUAUGAGAGGUCGUUCAUUUUUAUCACACUAAUUAUACCAAAAACUAUCUACAUAAAUAUUUACAGUAGCUCUACAAUUAUAGCAUGCUUUAUACCACCAAACCUAAGAGGAGCCGAUUGUCUUUAAAACAACUUUGCAUAUAAAUUUCACCCCCUAAAUAAAGUAAAAUAUUAUUUUCACCAUCAUUGUAUCAAAACAUAAUAGCCAGGUAAUACCUAAAAAUUAAUUUUCCACAUCAACUUAUGGCCAUUAUUUCUUAGCUUUAUAUUUUCAGCAUAUGCAGUACACUUUUUUUCCUUCAUAUCGUACAUAAAAUUUGUUUAGAUCCAAUUCCAAAAAAUAUUUUAUUAUUUUUCUCUUAGUCACCAUUUCUUACUGCGGUUCAAGAGACACUUGUGCUUCAUGUGUCAUGUAUAUAAUCGGAGCAAAUUGGUGUUUCGAGUCUAUACAUCGAUACAUGCACGUAUUUAAGCAAUAAUUUAUAAGUUUGAUAUGUGUUCAAUAGAAUAGUUAAAAGUACUAUAUGGCAACCUGUUUUGAUACUCGGUAAUUUUCUUGAACUAUAAAUUUAUAUAAUAUUUUGAUGUGGAGGAGGUGGAUGGAUAGAUUUUUUCUGAAUAAAAAAAAACAAUGAAAAUUUUAUUGUUAAGAGUUAAAAAAUUUAGCAUAAGAUUUUUCUUUCCUCCAUUUGCACCCCCAAGCGGCUCCCACAUGUGAUAGGGAUGUGUCUCGUCUGUCUUGAUUCGAGACUUGAGAGGGUAGAGAAACAAAAAAAAAAAAAUAGUCCACACUGUUCCACAUGCCCUACUUUUGCUAUCAUCCAUCUAGAAUUGUAUUUUUUUAUAGUCCACCUGUGUCCUUCUGUUCCUUAUUUUUUUUCUCUCCUCUUUAUGACCCCCUCUUCGAUGCUAUGCGAGAAGCAAAAGGCCGCUACCUCUGGCAACAACCCUCACGCAUAUACAAAGCCAAAAGGUGGAAAAAGGAAAAAUACAAAAAAAAGAAAAGAAAAGAAAAGCCAAUACCUAACUUGAGGGAGGGGGUGCAGUAGAGUUCAAGCCCGAGGUAAAUAUAUAGCCCAAAAAGCUGCUCUAUAUGGCAUGUUUCCGCACACAACAAUUGUGCUGAAGCAAUGAGAGGAUGACUUACAUCCAUUCUCUAUAGAGAAGAGUUUUUGACUUUUCCCUUACUUGAACAUAGUAAUUGAAUGAAAAGGAAGAGUAGGGACCUACAAAGCAAGCUCUGACCCUCCAUCCUUUUCACCGAUGAUGAACUGCCAUGUGUCCCAUAAAUGAUACAUCCUAUCAAUUAAAAAAUAUAGAAAGAGAAAGGAGAUGGAGGCAUGCUUUCGCCCUCUCCUCCUACAUGCCUACUGCUAAUUUAGGUGCUACGCAUCCGAUGCCAUGAUUUUCUAUAUAUAUACAUAUUUUGCUUCGGUCAAUCCUUCGAUAUCCUCUCAAGCUUGAUCGAAUAGUUGCUGGAAGAAACUCUCAUAGAAGGAGAAAGACAACCAUGCACCUAACUCCUUGCACACUUGGGUAUGCAUCAGACGCCAGCUUUAUUUUUAUUUUUUCCUCCUACCUGCAAGUCAUGAUAAAUCUUCUCUCACCUGAAUAUAAAAGCUGAACGGAAAGGAGUAGAGGUCUACAGAAUGUUAGUAUGUUCUAUCAAUACAAAUGUACGAAAGGAGAUGGACACCCGUCUCCCCUUAUAUGCGUUCCUACCGAUCUUUGCUUUUGUAGCUGACCUGUGGAGGUUCUCGCAGGAUCGAUUGGAUGGUGGUAUCCGUGAGCUCGAACGAAUGUCAAUUGAAGUAGCCAUGCCCAUGCAGUAAAAAAAUAAUGCGGAUAUGUGUUGCAUGGAGAAUGCCUCUAGAUUGCCCUUUAAUAUACUUUAUAUAUUUUCUAGAUCAAUGAAACCCGUUUCCAAAAUAUCCUCCUUUCUAGACCAGCCAUAUUUCUUACACACUAAUCUCUAAAUGUACUCGUGCUAACAUUCUAAAGUCCCCAUCAAUCAUUGGAAUGAUGAAGAGGAAACAUAUAAGAGGGGACUUCCAUAAUAACAUUAGUGGGAUUUUUUUGUUCGUUGGGAAAAUAUAAAAAUGUGCUUGUAGUGCUCCCAUAUUUGCAAAAUAUUUGCUUAUUAAACAAGAUUCGAUGCAUUCCUUGAACCAUUUUUAUACGGACAACUGUGAUCUUAGGAAGCAAAAAUGAUUUGUUGGAUCUUUGGCAGCAAAAAGAAGAAUCAUUGGAUCCGUUGUUUCUUGCUAUCACCUCAACACUUGCGCAACUGCUUUCUUCUAUCCUUCUAUUUGCGAUCCAUUUCUCUCUCCUCCUAUCAACUUUCACGUGCUCCACCCAGCCCACCAAACACCAUUGAUCCAUAGUACAAGAUAUAACCAAUUUAACACCAAGAAACUAUAUCAAACUAAUCGAAUGGUUCUGGUAGAUGGACGCCACCAGCUAUGCCAAAAACCCUAUUCCCCUAAAGUAUUGAUAGGCUCAAAUGAAGUACCAACCAUGCUCUAUGCCUAUAUGAGUGGAUCACUUUGCAGCAAAUAUCCAACCAUGUUCUAGCAAGUAUAGAUGGGCAAGGUUUGGUAUGUCUCGAUACCAUGGCAUUGUAGACAUAUGUGGAAGUUGAGAAAAAAUAUAGUAAAAAUAUAUAUAUUUUAAAUUAUAAUUAGAGUUUUCAAAAAAAUAAAAAAUAGUAUUUUUAUAGGAAUAAAAUUCUCACCUUUUAUGCAUAAAUAAAUAUUUCGUACAAUUUUUUUUAAAAAAUAGAUACCUAAUUAAAUAUAAACUACUCUAAAAUAUGCCCAUUUUUUUUGAUCAACUAAAUAUAUUUAAUUUUUUUUUCGGACAUUGUAUGUUUAGGAAUCCAUCUUCUAAAAAAUAAUAUUUGAGGAAAUCUUUUCCGAACGAGCCCUUAAGUCCUAUAAAAAUCUUAUCCCACCGCUUUUCUGCUACAAACCUAAAAUAGGACCAAAGGAUUUACUUCUUCUCCACUCUCUAUUCUCCGUUUGCUCUCUCUCGCUCUGUCGCUUUCUAUUAGAAUUGAGGGUGAGAGAAACCCUAGGUGGAGGAGGAUUCGUGGUUGAAUUCAGGGAAUGGCGAGGCCGCCGCAGGACGCAAUCGAGACCUUCAUGAGCAUCACCGGCGCCUCUGAGGCGGUGGCGCUGCAGAAGCUCGAGGUGAGCUCUCUCUCUCUGAUUUCUCCGAUCGCCACCCUCCUCUCUGUUUCUUUCUCUCUUCCAAUCUAGGUUUCGGGUUUGAUGCAUGGGUAGCUGGGAAUUAUGGGUUAGGGUUUCUGUUUGGUAUUACUGAUGGUGAUUUGAAGUCGUGACGUUGGAUCGGGUUUACUUUGUGGUUCUUGAUCUUUGGGAUGAUUUUGUUUUCUUGGAUUUGAUGGCGUGGUUGUAGUACGAUUGGACUGGUGGGUUUGGUUUUUAAAUUGGUAUUAUGUACCAAAGUGACUUGGAAUCUAAUUGUAUGUUCUAGUAUUACUGAAAUGUGAUAUCAUUUUUGAGUAAAUAAAUGAUAAUGGAUUCUUGAUUGUUUCUUGGUGCAAGAUGGAAUUGUGGCAGCGAAACAAAAUUUGAUGGGUAAAGUAGUUUGUGACUGAAAUAUGAUAUCGUCCUUGCAUAUAUAAAUGAUAAUCCUGAACAUUUCUAAAAGAAUUCAGUUGCCCAUUAAUUUUAUGGCAAUGUAUGUUUUCGAGCUAUAGAUAUCUUUGAGGGAGAUAGGUGAUGCUAAAUAUAAAAUCUGGAUAUCUCUGAGGUAUAUUAUAGUCAAUUUUUUGAGACAUGUGUCAUGCGUUAUAUGCGUGAGGUUAUAUGCAACUUAGGUUAAGAAUAGUGGCAUUGUGGUAGCAAAAUCAAGUAUAUUAAUAUUUUAUAUUUUGUUUUAUCAAGUAUGGUAAGUUUGAACUUUGAAGAGAAUUCUCUUGGGCUUGAUUGUAGAAGAUAUAUUCUCUUUUCCUCCUCGUGGUACAAAUAGAUUUUAUUUUUCUUUUGUAAAAGUGAAUUUCUAUAUUCUAAGAGAAGGUGUAUGUGUAAUUGAAUCCUCAUGCUGGCUUUUUAUGUGUGUGUCUAUAUGCACAUGUGUGUGCAUACAUGCCAUUCAAAACCUACACUGGCUUUAUGUGCACGUGCAAGUGUGUGUCUAUUCCAACAGUUUUGAUAUGCCAUGGGCAAAAAAGAACGAACAGACACUAGGUUUAAAUUCCAAGUUCCAAACACCUUAUCUUUCAUAUAACUAGAUCAAGAUAUUUUUGUCUUUUAUAAGCACUCACAAUGUUUUGACAGCUUUCAUGUAUAAGGAGUUAUGAGGGGUCACAGGAAAUGCUUAUGGUAUUUUAAAUGAAAUCUAUAUAACACUAACAAAGAAAGAUAAAAAAAUAGAUAUUGUGAUGGAUAUGUUUCGACCAAGGAAGAAAUAAUGGAUAUGAUUGCCUUAAUUUUGGCUGAAAUAAGUAAAAGUAACUCUCUAUCUGUCAGGGAAAUCUCUGUGUCAUUUUUUGUCUGAUAUAUUUUGAGUGAGUACAAAAAAAGAAGCAUAUUGUUUUGUUAUGUUGUAUGUCAUUUUUCUUAAUUGUUUAAAGCUAAACCUUCUUGUAGAUUCUAUAUUAUCGCACAGGCUAUUUUGUAGUUUCCUGAAAACUUUAAGAACUUUUGCAUCAACAGGAAAGUCUAAAGAGAACAAUUGAGGAACUUACAUGUUGAAAGCUCUCACCAUAGAUGUACUAUGUCAAUAAUCAAUUCCUUGAGUGGUUGUCAUUUGGGUGGAAAGAAAAUGGGAGGUAAGAAGUGUAGGAAAAUGCUGCCUGGGAGACAUGCUUAUUUUGCUGGUUUCUAAGCCAUAGGCAUAGAGAGGUAUUUCAAGAGAAAACUGCCAACAUAUGGAUGAUGGGGGGCCUGCUCAAAUUAUUUGACUGGGAUUUUCUAUCUUUUAUUUUUAAGAAAAUGUCUCCUGAAGUAGAUAUAUGCAUUUGUGCAUGUCCAUCAUUGUAAAAUUGAUCUCAAAGGUUAUGUGGAGAUAUGAUAUUUGAAAAAUGGUUUAGCUGAGGUCGAAGUGGUAGAAAAUAGAAUUCAUUGUGAGUGGCGUGUAUUAACAUGUAAGGAUGGUGCUUUGGAAGCAAGCUUAUGGUAAUUAAUUAGUUUUCCAUAAGAGUGAGGUAGUCAGUUUGUUAGAUGGUUUAAAUUACCUGGAAUACAAAAUAAUUAUUAUAGAUUUCCUCUACUGAGGAUACUAUAUGUUUGUGCAUGUGUGUAAAUGUGUUUGUAUGUAUGCUAGAUUCUCAGUUAUUAGAUAAAGAAAAUACUUAUCUUGAUAAAGAGGGACUCACAACUAAUUGAUCUAAUGGGAGUCUUAUUGGUGAAAGUGCAAACUGAAGGAAUGUGAGGAGAAGCUGAAAGAUUCUUGAGAUGUUGAUAUUCUAGGUCAAAACUUGACUGCUAUCUUCCAUAUACAUACAUAGGAACCUAUAUAUACCAGGCCUUUAGUUAUUAGAAAGAAACUUUGGCUUGAUAAUGAGGCACUAUAACCUUUGAUUUGAUGGAAGUCCUCUUGGUGACAAUGCAAGCUUUGCUUAUUUAAGGUAGAUUCAACUUUUUAUGGACCAUUCUUAUGAUCUUUUUAUAUAUUUGUAUGUUGCCCUCCCAAAAGAUUGCAAGUACGAAGCAAUUCGUUCAUUGAUUUCUCAUCAUGUUCUUUUUGGUGGAGAGGAAUGUGGAGAUGAAAACUAUUUGUAAGUGGAGGGAAGGUCAGCAGAGGGUGUGCCAUACUUAAGAGAUUAAUCAAAUGUUUAUCAAUGACGGUUAAGGUGUGAUUUCAUUAUAUCGUGGUUAAGGUAUGGAAUGUAAACCAAUUUCACAUUAUAUCGUGGUUAAGGUAUGAAAUGUAAAGCCAAUUUCACCUUUGGCUUUCUUGCUUACUUUUACAAAGUUUUGUUGAUUUAUGUGAAACGAAUUUGAGAUUUCAUGGAAGAAAUAAUAGAUGCUUGUGCCAUACAAUCCCUUUAUUUUUUUGAUUGCACCAAGUAUCCCAUCCACAUGACUGUUGGCCCCUGUGUUUAUUUAUGGUGUUAGAUAUUGUUUUAUAAUUUAUGUUAUUUAGAUGAAGCUAUAAGUUGCAUUUCAGUGAAAUUCUGUGCUUAUUCUCUUACCUUAUUCUUUUCAUGUGAAUGGCACUCAGGAACAUGGUGGGGACCUGAAUGAAGCUGUGAAUGCACAUUUCAAUGAAGGAGUUAGGAUAAAGUAAGUCUUUGAAGUGCAUCAUUUGGUUUUUGUUAAGAAAUUGAACCUUUUUGUUCUUUGAAAUGCUUCAGGUAUUUACUAUUUUCAUCAUCAAUUCUAGUAAAUAGUUAAUUAAAUAUCUGGUUGUUUGAAUGUCCAGCACACAACAAGCACCCAUUCCAGCCCCCCGCGAUGAUUUUAUGCACAUGGAUGAUCCACUUGAUGAUGAAGCCCUAAGACCUACUCUUCCACAGCUUUCUCCAAAUUUGAACCCAUUUUCGCUCCUUGAUUCAACUUUUGGUCGAAAUUUUUUUGAUGAUGGACGAGCUACCGGUAUUCCGAGCAUUGCCCCACGAGUUUCACAUCCAAGGGAGGUGAGGGAGAUACCUAUUGAAGUUAAGGAUGGGAAUACGCAACCUGGUUCUUCUGGUCUAGGGCCUACCAUGGAGGAUGUUACUGGAAACAUACCUACACAUGAUCUGGAGGUUCAUGGGACUGUCAUUAUUGAUGAUGAUGAUGAAGAUGAGGACCUUCCAACUGCUCCUGCUGAUCAUAAUAACACUUCUAUUGGUGGUCCUCUCGGAAGGCAUCACAACCCAAGUGGUUCUCCAUUGGUUGAUGUGACUGACUAUAACAAUGACAUCGAAGAGGAAAUGCUACAAGCUGCAAUUGAAGCUUCCAAACGAGAAGUUGAGGGGCGCCCUAGUCAGGAGUUUGAUGUUCCUAAUGUAGGUCUUUUGUCUUAUACCUUUCCGUUCAUUUUCUUGCCAUUUGUCCGGACCUAAUCGUUUUUCAUGCAGGACUCGAAUGGUCCCAAGCUUGAUCAGAAGUCCCCUGCAUUGGAGGAUGCUGAGCUUGCACGUGCAGUCUCACUGUCCUUAAAGGUUUCUGUCAGAUAUUAUUCUUUUCUGUUGCAGGCUUGCUUAUUUUUUUUUCUUUUUUCAGCUGGUCCUAUUCUGAUUUCCCAUAUUACAGACUGCAGAGCAAGAAAGAGCAUUUCAGGGGCAGGGGGUGCAUACUGGAGAGAAUCAGUUUUCUAAUUCAGCUGUCAUGGAAGUGGAUGAUGUGGACAGAGUUACUGCAGCAGAAGGAAGGUGGAUAUUUUCUUAUUCUUUUUAUUGCAGUACUGAAGAAGAAAAUCAUUAUUUAAAGCUAGAAAUCUUCAUGUGCACCUUUCCUUCCUGUUUGAUAGUCCAAAACUUCUACUACUGGAUGACUAUGGCAACUUUGUUUCACUGUUGAUGAUUUCUGGCCACCAUCAGCACCUAGCUUUGGCUUGUGUGAUUCUGAGCACCUAGAUAAUUAGUGAUUGCAUGUUACAUGUAGGAUAAGUCGUCAUUUUACUAAAUAUCACUCAUGAAUUUCUGUCCAUUCAGAGCUUUACAGUCGGUUUUGUGGUUUUGCAUAUUCACAUUUAAAAGUGAUGUUUUGGUUUUGACAGGCUCAUAUGGACUCAUGAUUUAAUUUCUCUUCUGUGGGUUGUCUACAGGAUGGCAAUACUGUUUAGCAUCAUAUGCCUAGUUUCGACAUGAUUUGGACCAUUAUUUAAUAUGCUGACCUAUUGAUUGAUAUGAUAUCCUGUUGAUUCUUUUAGAUCUGAGGGAGAUAUCUAUUUCUCUACACAGUUAUUUUGAAUUUGCUUAGUAGUGUCACAUGCACUUGUUUUUGAACCUUUGCCAUUUACUUGACUUAGCCAAUCUCUCGUAUUAAUUUCAGAAGCAUGGGAAUGCUACUAUGCAUGGCCGUAAAAAUAUAUCAUGCUAUAGGAACAGUUCCAUAAAUUUUAAUUCAAUUAUGUUUAUGUUCUCCUACAGGAUCUUGUGCUUAGCCUGUAAUGCAAGGAAAUUUUAGAAAUAGAAAAGUAGUUUCAACUCCAAUUCAUAACAUGUGCCUAAGGUCAGUUCAUAAGAGUUAAGUAAAGUGCAAGAAUUAUAAAACACACCAUUUCCUCAUAUUAAUUUUUGUUUACAUAACAAUGAAAAAAAAAUUUCUUGAGAACUUUAAUAAUUCAUUAGUACAUAAACCGAUAGUUUAGUAUCUGAUGCGGUAAAAUCCUGAUUAUUAAUAUGCAAAAAAGUCAAAACCUUAUUAUGUUCAAUGAGAACAAUCAUCCGGUAAACUGAAACCUAAUCAUGAUAUUGACAUGCUAGAUUGAGGCGUUUUUUCUAUUGUCCUAGAUACGACAUUAGACUUCAUAUAGCUGGCAGAUCAUGUGCCCUGAAAUUCUGGUUCUUUUUCUUCUGAUAACUGAGCAUGAAAAGUGAUGCUUAGCUUUUUAAACAGUUUCUUCCUCAAAAUGCUUUCUUCUUGAUCUUUUCUUAUUGAGUUAAAAUAGACAGGUACAUCAACUAAAAAGUGGAGUGUAAUUAUGAAUUUACUUAAAUAAAAAGUCUUAUGGUAAUAAAUAUUAGAAAAUUCACUUGAUUUUCGGAUUAGUGAUUUAUCUAACUUAAAGAAUAAAGAUGAAAAAAAUCUCAUGGUAACAAAUGUUGGACAAUUUGCUUGAUUAUUAGAUCACAGACAUCCAUCAAGUAUUCCUUCUCUAGAAUCAUAGACAUUCAUCAAAUAAUAACUAUGAAAUUUGUGUGAAGUAACGUUAUAUUUAUUGAUGCAAUCAUGAUCAUCCAUGAAAUGUGCAUCACUGACCAAUCACGUUCAUUACAUAGGGAGAGUAAUUAUAACUUAUUGAGAAUUAUCUGUUAAGCAAAAACCUGAUUUGGUUCUGCAGAUAGAUUAUCCAUGUGAUAUGGCAAAAUUUUAUUCAGUAUACUGAUCAUGGUUGAUUUUCCCCGAUAUCUUGAAUUUUGAAAAAAUGAAUUAAAUACAUAUCUUCUUACUUAUCUCGGGGUUCAGUUAUAUCCGUCAGUCAGUGGAUUUUUUGCCUUUUGAAUCUAUUGAGUGGCUUAAGGGCAUAUUUUUGUUUUGAUAUAAAGAAAAAAAUUCCUUGCUUAGAAAUCUUGUUCAGAACCUUGACUGAAUUUGAUUUUAUUCUAGAUUUAGACUCUAGGUGAGUCUAUUUGACUUAUUUGGCAUUUUUGUUAUCGUAUCAUAGCAUUUCGACAUAAUGCAUAGGAAUACCCUUUAAAUUGAGUUGGUAGGAGCCGCUGAUAUGUGGGCCCAGUUAUUCAGAAGGCAGCACUAGCAUGAAACUAUUAGGUUGUGGACUUCGCUAUGAAACAAUGCUUAACACUGGAUAGUUCCAAAUGCUGGUGCAUGUAAAUAACAUUGUAGAAAUGAAGUUAUGAGCUAUGCAUAUGCGUAAUUCACAUUUUUUUUUAUUGGAUGGUAAACAUGUGUACCCUGUAGGUCAUUGUAAACAAAUUUCUAACUGUAAAUGACUGGUAUGUGUCUUUUCUGUUACUGGAGGCAAGGAUUUGGUUCUGCGAAGACUGGAUCUUCAAGUCAAUUAAAAUCAGAGGAAGGCAAUAUAUCUGUCCAAGAGGAAACUGAAGAUGUGGAGGAGCAGCCUCUAGUGAGGCACCGUUCCGGACGCAUUUCUUCGGGAAAUGCAGAAUUAGCAGAAUCUGGACGAUUGGGUUAUAGUCCUCCAUCAAGUCCUCGGCAGAACAAUGCUGGCAGUCGUCCUUCAUAUAAUGGAGAUGCCUUUCGGUCAGACGAGGUACCAUUUGCUAUCAUGAAAAGCUGCUUGUGUACUGAGUCCUGUAUGAAUAGGAUUAAUUCACCAUAUUUGUCCUUUUUUCAACUUAUUGUCCUGCCUUAUUUUGGACAAGUGGGGUGGCAUAUCUUCUGAAGAGCAUGAUGAAGCUGUCAUGCUUGAGGCUGCAAUGUUUGGUGGCAUUCCAGAAGUAGCAUCGUAUCAUUUUGCAUACCCAUCUCAUCAAGUCAUGCAAACUGGUUCAGAUCAAAGCUCAACUUUCUAUCCUCGUAUACCUCGUCCACCAUCGCCAACACUGAUGGCACAACGCUUGUUAAGGGAGCAACAGGUUGGACAUGUUAUAUUGUAGUAAUUGGUGGUAAACAGUGAUUUUCAUUUACGAGUAUGUAUUAUACCAAGAAUUUAUGAGUGGAUGAGUUUGAGGCCUCAAUGUCGUAGGGAAAAAAUACUAUAUUCUACCUCAUAGGGGAACUUUCAAAUCUGGUAUGUUUUUUUGACAUGUUGAUAACUUGCUUUAAUUCUGCAGGAUGACGAGUAUCUUGCAUCAUUGCAAGCAGAUCAAGAAAAAGAGUUAAAGGCCCAGCAGGAGGCUGAACUUCGGCGUUUGGAGGAGGCUGCUGCCAGAGAAGCUGCACUUGAAAAGCAAAAACAGGAAGAGGAAGAAAACUGCAGGAAACAACUUGAGGAAGAGGUAAUCUGCGGUCAGAAGUUCCUUGAUUGGUUCAUGAUCUUUUUCAUUUUCAGAAAAUCUUUCUUGGAAUUAAAAAGACUUAUUUUACACACUGCCAGAUGUAAAUGUGUAGUUCUUAUUUUUAAACAUUUCAAUUUUGGGUGAUUGAUUUCUUCAGGUGCCUUUGGAAUACAUUCUUCUGUUCUCUUUCAUUUGCAUAACUUCUUUUGAUUUUGAUGUGACUCAGAAUUUUGCACUGGCUGCUAACAUCAAUCAAACUAUCCUGAAGUAUCUUCAGUAUAUGUAAGAAGACUCAUAUAAAAUCAAGGAAGUUUGUUUUCGGAAACUGCUGCAGACAAUGUAUAAUAUCAAAUUGAGAAAGCAAAUAAUUAUUGGAAGAAUCUUGCAUGUUAAGUGAAAAUUUAAUUGUUUUUGCAGAUACGUUUUUUUUGGUUGUAUUCAUUUCAGUUGUUGAAAAAGAUUCUUUUUUUAAUAACUUAGAAACUGUAAGAUCUAACUGAAAUUCCCAGUCAAAAGCAAAUGUGACAGUACUGCAGCAACACGAUCUAUGUGAUAUUGUGCCUGAAUAUGCACAAGGAUUAUGGUAGGCAGCCCUGUAGAUUAUUGAAAAUUGUCAAUAGUUGUUUUCUUUUGUUCAUUUUUUUAAUGAGCAUAACUUAUAGGGUAGUUUGAGAUCUCUAUAUAUACCUGCUGUAGAGUUUCAGUCUGAUAUUUUGUUUCUAGUUGUAGAAACUAAUCAGAAACUUGUCUCUUUAAUUGUUUAGACAAAACAUAUACUGAUUUAUGUUUAUAGAAAUGUGCAAGUCUUUUUCUCCUUUUUCUAAUUCUUGGUUUCAUUAUAUUGUAGUUCUUUAAAUAAAGGAAAAGUAAGAAGGGAAGUGCUGCAGGAGCAUAGCUUGUAAAAUAAAUUUCUUGUUUUGAUUUAGAGUCUUAUUUCGUUGCUUAAAUUUGAAUGUCGUUUAAUGUGUUAGGUUAGAUAUCUUUUGGUAUGCUUUUGUGUAUUUGGAAAGUUGUAGCCUAGGAAGUUGUUUGCAUAUAUUAUGAAACUUGACUAGCAAGCUACAUAAGCACUAUAUAUAUAUUUUUAUGAAUGAAUGAGGAUCUUUGGGAGUUUUUGAAAAUUAAUCUCACUUGUUUCAAGUUUCAACCAUAUCUCUAGUUGCUCAUUAGUUUUAGGUUAUAGAUAAAUUUUCUUACUUGUUAACUUGCCUCUUAAGUGUUAUAGCGGUUUUAGUAUUGCUCAAGGUUUCGUUUACUGGGAUCUUAGUUAGACAUUUGACAUCAUGUUGAGAAGCAGUUGUAAAAUCUUGCUAAAACUUCAUGAUUCUCUCUUGAAAUAUAAAGUUGAAUCUCUAGAGAGAGAGAGAGAGAGGAAGNNNNNNNNNNNNNNNNNNNNUAAUAAAGUUAGUAAUACUCUAGAGAGAGAGAGAGAGAGAGGAAAUGUUGACUGAUUGAACCCACAAAGUUUGGAACUGAAAUUGUUCUGAUCUUUUUUUUUUAAAAUUCUCUCUGCGGUUUGCUUAAGAUUUUGCUUGAAAUUCUGCAUGAGCGAUGAUUUAUUGUUGAAAGGUGAAUUCUGAAGCCCAUGGUCGAAAAGAAAAAGUCAGAAUGCGAAAUAUAGGGAAUAGAGAUAGCUAGGAAAAGCGGGGUUUUUCGUUAAGUUUUUAUAAAGAAUGAACUCCUUUUGUAACAGUAACAGUAAACUGACACUCCAUAAAUAUUCAGAUCCUUGGCUUCUCUUAUGAUCAUGUUGCUGCAAGUUAGAAUGAGGUCACAUGAAACUAGACGACGAGGAAAAGAGGAGGGAGGUCAUAAGGUAGAUGGAUGGAGCUGCAACUUCCCUUUUUCUCUUUUUCUCAUAAAAAGCUGGGGCUCUGAAUGACUAUACAGGAGGGUUUUCCACUCGUUUUUGUUCUUUACUUCUCUCUCACCCCUCUCCUCUUCAUGCUCCUGACUUCUUUUUUUUGGUCUACAUCAAAACCUUCAUUCUAAUACCUUUUAGGUGCAAGUUGAGUUGGAGAGGCCAGAUGCUCUUUUUUUCUUCUUGACAGAGGGUAGACUAUAGUCACGACACUCUUCCAACUGCCUUCUUAGGAUGCGUAGGAUAAGCAUGCCUUAGAAUAUUAGUCCACCACUACAGAAAUGACCACGAAUGAGAUGUAAUAAGCACUUAACCUAAAGAAACCUAAGAACUCAAACCUAAUGCCCAAACAGAAACUUCAUAUAAAUAAACCCCUAGGACAGAAAACAUCUCCAGAAACUCAAAUAAGCAGCAAACUAACUGAAAGUAAAAAUGUUAAAUUAAAAUUGAUAACUCUAAGAUCCUCACUAAUACUAGGCUAUGUCAGAUACUUCUGCUUUGUUGUUCAAGUUUUAUUUUUGAGAUCUUUUCUUGACUCUAUCCUCGGCUUUACUGUUGAACUGGUACAGUCCUAGGGUCAAUUUGGAUAUGGGUCAUUCUCAUGAUGUAGCAACCAGAAGGCUGAUUUUGCAACCUUGGAAUGUGAAACAGCUUGAUCCAUUAUUAAGUAGGAAUGGACCUUGCAGGAGUUAACAUAUAGCUGAAAAUCUCCCUACACUUUGGGGCUGUUGUAGUUAACAAUAUGACAAUUAUCCACUUACUUUUCAUUAUUUUGAAGGCCUAGCAAUAUAUUUAUGCAAACUUCAUUAACAUGCACUUUCGGUCCUGCAGUAACUUAUAAAUUGAAUAAGUUCCAAACUUACUACAUCAGGUUCUUGUAUGCUGUAUACUACAACAUUUCUAAUAUAUAUGGAGCCCUGCUUUCCUUGGAAUAUUGUUUUUUCUGAAUUGUAUUUUUGACACUCAAAAUGGUCAAACCGUCUCAGCAAGAUGAUGCUUUCUGAUUUAAAAAUGUUACUUUUUUUAAAUCCGUUUUCUUAUAAAAUUUUUAUAGUUGUUUCUUCUAAAUGUGUGUUGAUUUACAGGAGCGUGAGAGGAAACUUGUUGCAAAAGAAGCUUUUCUUCCACAGGAACCUUCUCCAGAUGAUGAAAAUGCUGUCACACUUCUUGUCCGCAUGCCUGAUGGCAGCCGCCGUGGACGUCGCUUUCUGAAAUCCGACAAGCUUCAGGUAAAAAAAUCUUAUGAACUGGUCAUGAUUCAUAAACAUAAUAAUUCCUCUUAUCUCUCCCUCUCUCUCUCUUCCCGACUUGAUUGUCACUGCUGACUUUUGCUGCAGUUCCUUCUUGAUUAUAUAGACAUCGGAAGGGUGGUUAAGCCUGGCACCUACAGAUUGGUAAUUCUUCCGUCCACGGUCCAUCCAUUUGAUUUCUGCUAUUCUGGCAUAUUUCAAUACUUCAAUAUUUAACAGAAACCUUUCUGAUUGGGAAUAGCUUAUAUGCCUUUUAGAUUCUUGAUUGGAAUGUUCUGAUUUUGUUAUUCUUUCAAGGAAAGCAAUCCAAUUGAUAGCAGUAACUUGUUAAUCUGCAAUUUUAUUUAGGGUGUCAUUGGCAUAAAGAUACCUUGUGCUACCAUUUUAUCAUCAAAAUUAGUAAUUUUAGUCAUUCAAUAUUCAUUUACGUAAGCUCUGGUGCAAAAAUAUGAAAGGACCAUGAUGUAAGUAGUGCAGAAAUGUGUUCUAGGAGCUAGUCAUGUGAUGCCCCGUUUGUUAUUCUGAAAGUUAGUACUUCACUUGAUAAGUGUAUGGAGUCCCUUAUGGGGACAAGAUGAAAUGAUUUGAAAAUUAGCUGGUAUGGCUAUUAAGCAUAUUGCAAAAGUGCAGACUUAAAUCUGAUUACUGCAACAUUAUCAAGGCAACUACUGUCAGACAUAUGAUUAUAAGAAAUUCACCAAUAACUGUUUUUUGGCUGUUAUGGACUCGCCACUACUCUCAUCACACUGACUCUGAAAGUAACAAGUUCAAGUGUAAUCAGUUGAUGUGACCAAGUUGGAACCUAGUAUAGGAAGCAAGUUUGCUCAGAUGCAACGUGGAACAAGUUUGAGAAGUAGCCAAGAAUUUUGGGAUGAUGGUCUCAUCUUUUUCCCUAGGUUGUCACAAGCAGCCACCAUGGUGCCUAUGUCCUGCAUUAACUAAUAAAAGAGGUGCCACAUGGGUUUAUUAGCCUAGGCUGGUCCUCCUAAUAGCUUAAGCUUUUGGGAUGUGAGAGCCAGGCCCAUUGUAUGUCACUACCUUUAUUAGUCAUGUGGCUGCCCAGGGAUACUAGGAUCGAGGAGGAAUUGGUAGGGUCGAGUAGGACCCGAGCCAUGGGUGGGCCCCUUUCUCGUGAAGAGGAGCUAACCAGGAUGAGGGUGUCAUGAGAUUAUGUGGGGGAGAUUGUCAUAAAUCCACAUUGACUGAAAAAGGGAUGUCACAUGAGUUUAUUAGCAUGGGUUGGUCCUCUUUCUAACAGCUUAAGCUUUUGGUUUGCAAGUCUAUGACAUUAGGAAGUCCUACCUAGACCCUUGGAUAAUUCAACUGCCUAGGCCUUGUUCUUUCUAGCCCUUCAAGCAAGACAGCUGCCAAUUGUAGAUUGGUGCCCAGUGGGCAUCUUGUCGCAUGGGAACCCCCAUUCUCUCUGGCAUGUGUCUUGUUCCUUGAUUUUUUGAAGAUACUAAACUAAUUUUCUCUUUUAAGUGAAAAACAUAUUUGCUUGAAGAGACAGAAGUUGAAUAUAUUUAUAAUAUGUUCCCUUAGAUACUAAUUGAUGCUUGAACAUUUUCUAAGAAUCUUUAAAUACUUAAAUUCACUUAGUAGAAGAAUUAUUAAGUAAAAUUAAAGUAAUCAACUCAAAGAUUUCAUUAUUACCUGAGAAUUUGACAACUUUAUUGUUUAUCAAUAUGGUUUUCUUUGAUGUGCUUUUUAUGAAGUAUAUAUAACUAUAUAUGGAAACAUGCAAUUCCCACUUAGGUGCCUGCAUAGCCAUCUUGGCAUUCGACCUGAGCCUCUACAGGAGUCAACACCUAGGAUUGCCUGGGCAAUUCAACAACCUUGCUCCUUCCAACUUGACAUUUUUGAUGCAUUUUUUGAUGGGAGAUUUUUGAUGACUUGCUUAAAUUUUAAGGGCAGAAAGAAGAUUUAGGCACUAGAAUGAUGUAGAAGAUUGGAUAUCACAAUUUCUUGAUAUUUUGCGGGUAGAGCUUUUCAGGGUGCUCAGGAUCUGUCCUUCUCAAGAAUGGAGCAUGAUAUAAAACCAAAGGAACAAUUUUUAAAGUGUGGCGUGGAAGACCCUUUUUUUGUUAAAAAAAUGUGAGACAAAAUACUCAUUAUAUCGAGUAAGAUAUAUUUUACUAUAGUUUUCUUUGCAUACUGCCAUGAAAGACAGCUUUAUAUUUUCCUCUCAAAAUGUUCAAAGAUUCCUUUUCAGAAUGAAGUUUGAGGAUAUGCUUGAAUUUCUGGUGUUGUGAUGAGUGACACUGGUGUCAACAACCUCAUUGUUAAUGAAUUUGAUAAAGUUGAGAUGAGAUUUGGCAGCUGUAAAUUGAGAGAUUUAUCAAAAGCGGUUCUGUGUUUGACAUCAGGGAAAGAGGUUUUAUUUGUUGUUCCACAAAUCAGACAUAACAGUGGUUUUAGUUAUUAACCAUCACGAGUCUGUUUUUACUGCGGUUAGGAAUGUGGCUUCAAAGAUGACAAGGGGAGGCCACCAAUAUAUCAAGAGAGCUAACUUUUACCAAGUAUUAAUCAAAGAUUACAAAUUGAUUCAAGACUUAUUGAGAGCAUAUGAAAGGGAAAAGAGGAAUAUGUUGAUCAUCGUACAGAUUGGGUGGGAAUGUAGUUUUUUAGAACAAUAAGAGGUAUGAAAGUAAAUUCACUGGGUAGAGGGGAGUCAUUUAUAGUGCACUAAGAUUGAAAGGUUCAAGAUAGAAACCAUUUGACUAUGCCAGAGUUAUAAAUUUUGUUAAAGGAUGGAUUACUGCAUUUAGCUUUGCUAAAAUGAGCCAGUUCUCAAGUUGAAUGGUAAUGUAAAAUCUCUUUUGAUGGGAGUUAACAGGUAUCAUAAACUACGAAAAUAUUGCAUUGAAAAGGGUAAUAUAUUGGCAGAACAUGCAGGAACAUGAGAAUCGGCAGGGACCAUAAAGCAAAGAUGAUGGAGAUGGAAGAACUUGAGAAGAAAAGAUGAAAAUUAUCUAAAUUUUGAUAACGAGAGGUGGAUAUUUUGAUUUCUACAUGCAUACAUUAUUUUGGAUAAUGCUUCCAUAAGACCACUUGUAUUCUCUCAAGAAUAACCCUUCUAACAAUCAUAAAUCGAACUAAUUAUAAAAUGAGGAAGGUAAGUGUGAAAAGUAAAUCAAGGUUUGGAUGAUAAAGAUGCCUUUGAGGAGACCAAACUGAUAAUCACAACUAGGUAAAGCUUUUCUCAAGCAAUUGCCUUAGGCAAGAAGUGGAAAGUAAACCAAGGUUUGGUUGAUAAAGAUGCCUUAAGGAAUGCCAAACUGAAAUAAUCAUAACUAGGCAAAAGCUUUUCUCAGGCUAUUGCCCUAAAGGAUUCUCUCAGUGAUCAAGGGGCUACAUGAAACUUUGGGAGCACCCAAGCAUCAUGAAGAAUUGAUUAGGUACUUAGCUGCUAUGUAUGGCUAAACCAUUUUGAUCCUCCACAUUUUGUCUAGGACUGGAACUUGCCUUCGCUUGUGCAUUCUCUAACUGGUGGUUCUCAUGGUUAAAGAGUUAUUGCAGAGUACAUCUUUUUAUUAGUGCCUUGGAGAUGGUUGUGGUUCCUUUAUUGGACCUUACCUUGUUCUCUUCUCUUUUACACCAUCCGAGUCUUGGGAGAAACAUAAAAGGGUUUUCCCUUGGAUUCAUGUGUGCUGAUUGUAUAACCAACAGGCCAGGUCCGCACUUGUCUACUAGCCUUUUAGGUGUCAUGACUGCCCCUCAUGCCAAGUUACCUUGUUCCAAAAUCUGACAUCAAUCCAUAAUAAGUUGACCUUAGGUCGAGUGGGUUGUGAAUCCUUUCAAACUCUUUUGGACAAUAGCCCUAAGCUGCUUCUGACGCAGAGAUGGGACAAGGUUGGGGGUUGAGUUAUGCCACAGGUAUCCCAGAAGCAGGUCAUUGAGGAUAAGCAAUGACUUCGAAUAACAAUUGUCAGCGCAACUUCAUAUGAUGUCUUGAAGAACAGUCAGUAUUUUAUCUACUAUUUUAAUCAGUCAUUGUACAUGGCAGUUCUAGUAAACUGCUAGCCGUACAUCGUGUGAUGUCAUGCAGAUAUUUUCCCUUGACUUGGAUUUGUUUGGUUGUAGGUAACAGGUGCAGGAAGUAUUUCUUAUGCAAUUGCUUUGUUUGAAUUUGACAGGUGAGGCCAUAUCCACGGCGUGCAUUCACUGAGGGAGAAAGUGAGCUUUCACUUGGUCAACUGGGUCUGACUGGCAAGCAAGAAGCAUUAUUCUUAGAGUUAAUCUAGAAUUGUUAUCUGAUAAACAAAAGGUGUACUCAAUGGCAAGCAGAGGUAGCUAAACUUACCAUUUGAAAUUUGAAAUCAUUGUGGCAUUUGAUUGAAAUGCCCAAAAAGAAUCAAGAGAAGACACUCAAUGGAAGCUGUGGGGAUCAAAGGCUUGAACUCAGUGCUCACCAGAUGAUUUUCUCAUUGAUGAGAUCUCAAUGCUCUUCCAGUCUAGUUUUGUGUCUAUUUCUAUCGUCCAGAUAGCAACUCUGAUGUAUACAUGCAAAUAACUCAUACCCAAGCAGAUAACAUGACCCAUGUUGGCUACAUAAAAAAGGGUAAAAAAUAGAAAAGACAGACUUUAUUUUCUUUCCCUGUCACUUAAAGAACAUGGUGAUUCGGUUGUGGUUGUGGAUUUAUACUGUCAUUUAUUUUGAAAAUACAGGAGUCAGAAAAGUUGCAAUAGCUGCCAAGGUGGUCCGCUUUAAUGUCAGAUAUUAGGUAAUUCAAACUCUUUUUGAGGUUAAGCUUUAUAGGGAGAAAGGCAAUGGGUAGCUUGGCUGCAGGUCUGCAGGAGACUGAUUCAAUUAAGUCCAACAAUUAAAUUGGAUUCAAAUAUUUGAAUAUGUAGAGGGGUGGUCUUGGUUCUAGCUCAUACUACUAUAGAGAUGGAGAGUUUCUGAGCUAAUUUUGUAGUUUAUAACCUAGGUGCAGAUUAAUUAUUUAUUGAUGAUGUUUGGUAUUUGGAGAUACAGGUCAAGCUUUGGAAACCUCGGCCAGAUGGGAAUGGAAUUUUCUCUUUUCAUAGGGUGAAGGUGGCCUGGAAUUUUAUGGAUGACAAACUCCAACUUCGUUCGUAUAUAAUGAUGCACAGAGAAAUCAAAAUUAGAAUUGUUGGGGUUGAAAUUUGGCUUGAGGGUGAACACGCCGGAGGAAAUCGAGAAGACGCCGAUUGGGAUGGAGGAUCACCUCCUGCGCCCCGAGGUAUUUAUACAAAGUUUUGGCUGGGGAUUUCGGCAAAGGCCCUCCGAUGGCUAAGCUAGAGUUUAUCCAGCCUUUUUCUUGGAAAAAAAUUCCUAAGUGUUUUUGAUAUAGCUUAUUUAUAGCCCUCACAAGGGUGCUCGGGUGGCUGGGAUUUAUCCUCAUUAUGGGAGGGGAUGGUCCUUGGCAGGUGGCGUUUGGCUAAGGCCAGGGUUCGUUUGAGGCACACGGUUUGGGUAGUCCCUGCGCACGACAUGGUGUUCGCUGGUGUGGCAGUGUAUGACUCUUGGCAAGUGUGGUAGGGUAUAGCUCUUGAUAGCAAGCAUGGCUGAGGCAACAAGGUAUGGUCCUUGGUUAGCAUGUCAAGGCGUGGCCAGCACCGCGACAUAUGCUUGGCGAGGUCGGCUCGGCCUUCGGCGGGGGCUGAAGUCGGCCUGGCCUCUGGUCGAGGUCGGCUCAGCCUUCGGUGGGGUUCGAGGUCGGCCUGGCUUUCAACGGAACUGAGGCAUGGCCUGCUCAGCUCUGAGGUCUGCUCGGCAGAAAUUGGGUGGUUCUACGCUAGAGCAGGAUGAUUCAUUUUGCCUCCCUGUGUGGUGGGGGAUGCCACAAUGGCAAAAAGCCAUGUAGCACUAGCCUAUGGGCUCUUGCAAUAGUUCCUUUUUCUACCACUCGUGUCAGUUGAAUGUUUAUUGCUUGCUAUUCUACAGCUUAAAACUGGAGGUGAUGUGGAAAUAUCGGAUGCUUGGACUUCAGGCCAGAUUGACCCCCCUAGCUCGGACAUGAAUCAAGGUCAAUGCCUUUAGCUCCAACCAAGGAGUCACUAGCCGAGGAGAACCAUUAGCACACGUUGACCAGGGCUAACUGCCCGAACAAUCGACAGUCUUGGCAGUCUGCAAUCGUGGUAGCUCCACGCCCCACGUCAUACCUGCGCCACACUAUGCCGACGCAGAUUGACUCCUGCACUGUGCCCGUACCACCGGAUGUUGUCUGACAUCAUUGCAUGUUAUGUCGGCCCAGGUAACAAGGCUGGCUCCCCUAUGUAAAAGGGGCAAAUUGAGAGACUUGAGGUAUGCGUAGAAUAAGCAUUCAUUACCACUCACAUAGACCACCCUCUGUUGAGAUUUCUUCUUUCCAUACUGUUGCCUCGUUAUUCUGACUCAGGCAUCGGAGGGUUCUCUGCUGGAAACUCUUCAGCAAGUAGACUUUUUGUAAGCCACCUAUCAGAGGAGACAAGUGCUUGACACCUCAACCAGCCAGCUUAGCUCGCUUCUAGCCGACUUCAAGGUCGUCCGACCUAUACUCCCACCUCAGUCUGGACCAGUGCUCGACACCUCAAGCAACCUGCUUAGCUCACCUCCAAUCGACCUUAGGGUCGUUCGACCUACACUCUCACUUCAGUCCGAAUUCUGUGACAAUAGAUUGGCGCUAAAGGAAGAGCCUAGCACCCAGCUACAUCAACUUCAAUUGGAGGGAGAGACAAUUGGCAUGAGGUCACGAGGAGCCCACGACAUAUUGUGUGCUUUGCAACGCUGCGCCCCGACCUCUUGAGGGUCGUUGUAGAGCCCCGAACCCACUUCACCAGAACAGCUUGCCACUCCUGUAGACAAGGAGCAGUUCGACAAGCUCACUCAAUGGUGCAGGGGUUGAUUGCGGUGGUUCAGAGCCUGUAGCAAGCGGUAGUGUGAUCGGAGCUAGCCCGACUGGAAUCCGACCAGCCUAGCCCCCGCGCUCAAUAGGUGCAAAGCAUGCGCUUGGUCAGCCACUGUUCUCAGGAUCGGGAUCUCAAGCGGUUGCAUCAGAGUUGGCGCACUUAGUGGAGCGCCCCCGGCCAGAAUGGAAAACAAUGCACUCCAAGUCCUCAUUGUGGUAGGGAUUCUGUCUAGAGCCUCUCACCUGUUCGCCUUGUGGAGCCCCUGCCCCAGCAGGAAGCCGAUUCGAUAGGAGAAUCGAGGAAAUGGAUUAGCAAAUUUAGGCCCUCAAAGGACAAGCUUGGAUCCCCCCUUUUUUGGUAGAUCAUGGAGAAACCGAUCCCACCUCAGUUUAAGAUGCCACAAGUAGAGCCAUACGACGGUACCUCAGACCCCUUGGAUCAACUUGAGAGCUUCAAGAUUCUCAUGAUGCUGCAUGGAGCCAUCAACGCCACUCUUUGUAAGACAUUCCCUACGACCCUUCGCAAAGCGGCUCGCUUCUGGUUCUCUAGGCUUUGACCUGAAUCCAUCCACUCCUUCGGGCAUCUCGCUCGCCUCUUCAUGCACAUUUCAUCUUUAGCCGAAGACAAUGCUGCGGCUUUGAAACACUGCUUGACAUCAAACAGGGAGAGAGGGAAUCCCUCGGGGAAUAUGUCACUCGCUUCGACGCAGCGGCGUUGGAGGUCCACAAACUGGACUAGUCGGCAGCGAUGUCUUCAAUGAAGAGCGGCAUGUGGCUGUCGAGCUUCCUCUUCUUUCUGAAAAAGCGCUUCACCAACAACUUUGCUAAAAUGUUGGCGUAGACCAACAAAUAUGCCCAUACCGAGGAAGCCAUGGCCUCCCGCCACGAGUCUGCUGACGGGAGACCCCUUUGGGGAAGCAAGAGAGGAUGUGAGGAGCAAAGAGAGUAGAGGAGUAUCUCACCUUGGCGCGAGAGGGGGCCAUGACGACCCAAGAGCCCUCCUUUGAAGUUUGAGACGUAUACUUCUCUCACUAUCUCGAGGGUCCAGAUCUUCAUGGAGAUUGAGGGUCGAGGCUACCUACACCCUUCGCAUCCGAUGAAAGGCCCAGUGACCAAGAGGGGGCAGAAGAAGUACUGCUGCUUUCAUUAGGACUGCGGCCACGACAUCGAGGAGUGUUCUCAACUUAAGGACGAAAUCGAAGCACUCCUCCUGUGUGGGCGACUAGACCGGUACAUGCGUGCCCAGCGGGAUCAAGGAGUGCAUGCCCUGACCUUUGAUCCAUUGCCUCCAGAGCAAAUCGACAAUCGCUUGACGGCCGGAUCAUCAACACCAUCGCUGGCAGUGCCUCGGGCGAGCGAACCCCUCAAUAGGAAGACCACAGAACGGCCACAAGUCAUGCAUGUGGAUGGGGCAUUGAGUCUGGGGGGUAGUAGGGCUGGUCUCACGCUUACCAGCCCUAGCGGAGUAAUCAUGGAGUGCGCCCUCCAGUUUGAAUUCUCCACAUGAAGUAACAAAAUCGAGUACGAGGCGCUCUGUACCAGAUCUCGGAACUCGACAAUUGGAGGCCUUCGGUGUACAAGAUAGGGACCUCGACGGUGCCCCGAUCUUGCGGGCUUGGAGCUACGACAACCUUUGCGCCUGUCAUCAAUAAGGUUUAAUGUAGUCCAAACUCAUUGCCAAUAAAAAUUCUCUCGUUUCGUGUCUUUCAGAUCGGAUGAUCAUGAUGAGCGUAUUCUACUUGGGACACUCCAAGGAUGCUUGGGCUCCAAUAAAGGAGACGCUCCAGGGACGCCUGGGGUCUUCCUAAACUGAGUUCGCUCGGGAUGCCUCUACGAGUAUACUCCAGAGAUGAGAAGUUCGAGCCCACUCAAAUUUUCUCUGGGUAGCUAAUCCUAGAGAUGCCUCUAGGAGCAUACUUCGAAGAUGAGAAGAUUGAGCCUACUCAGAUUUUCUCCGGGUAGCUAACCAUAGAGAUGCCUCCGGGAGCAUAUACCAGAGAUAAGAAAAUCGAGCCCACUCAGAUUUUCUUUAGGUAGCUAACCUCAGAGAUGCCUCUAGGAGCAUACCCCAAAGAUAAGAAGAUCGAGCCCACUUGGAUUUUCUCUAGGUAGCCAACCCUAGAGAUACCUCCGAGAGCAUACUCCAUAGAUGAUAGGAUCGAGGCCACUCGGAUUUUCACUAGGUAGCCAACCUCAGAGAUGCCUCCAGAAGCAUACUCCGGAGAUGAGAAGGCCGAGCCCACUCAAAUUUUUCCUAGGAGCCAACUUCAGGGAUGCCUUGGGGAGUAUACUUUCGAGAUGAGAAGACCGGCUACCGGGCCGAAGGCUUGGCAUGCCAAUCGACUUCUUUAGGUCGAAAAUGGCUCGAGCAAGAGAAUCAGCGCCAUGCUGAAGGCUUGGAGUGCCAACUGACCUCUUUAGGUCGAGAAUGGCCUGACUAGGAGAACUGGCCGCCGCGUUGAAGGCUUGGCAUGCCAACCGACCUUUUCAAAUUGAGAACGGCUCAAGCAGGAGAACCAGCCACUGCGCCAAAGGCUUGGUGUGCCAACCGACCUCUUUAAGUCGAAAAUGCCCGAGCAAGAGAACCGGCCGCCGCGCCGAAGGCUUGGAAUGCCAAUAAUUGAGAAUGGCCCGAGUAGAACUGGCCACCGCGCUGAAAGCUUGGCAUGCCAACCGACCUCUUCAACGUCUUUAGGUCGAGAAUGGCCCGAGUAGGAGAAUUGCCACCGUGCUGAAGGCUCGACGUGCCAACCAACUUCUUUAGGUUGAGAAUGGCUCGAGUAGGAGAAUCGACUGCCGUGCCGAAAGCUCGAUAUGCCAACCGACCUCUUUAGGUCGAGAAUGAUCCGAGCAGGAUAACCGACCGCCGCACUGAAGGCUCGACAUGCCAACCGACCUCUUUGGGUUGGAAAUGGCCGAAGCCGAAGAUCGAGCCCAUGUGGAAUUUCUCGAGAGCUGGACUUUGAAAAAAUCAGCUGAAGAGCCCAAGACAAGCUAAAGCUCCACGAGCAGGAGGGUUCAAAUCGAGCAAGAAGUGCUACAGUGAAAAGCCGAGGCCUAGCGCAAACUCAAACAAAGAGCAAAUAACAACACAAUGCAAACUAGGUUCGGAGUCAGAUACUUUGGAAACUCUUUGUUUUUAAUAAAGUUGUGAAUUUUUAAUAAAGAAGAGUACAUUAAACUCGGUUCACUCGAGCGAAAAGAAAAAGCAAAAGCAACGAGGUAAAGAGCUUCAUUUCUCGCCUCCACUGCCCCGCCGUUGUCGAGGUACCUAGUUUCCUUCGGUUGAAAAGAUGCGGCUCUUCAUGGAGAGCCCCACCGGCUAGCCUGCUGUCUGGGGGGUCAGGUCCUCGGACACAAUCUGCGAUGUCAAGGCCAGGAUUCAGGAUAAGGAGGGCAUCUCUCUAGAUUAGCUCCAUUGCCCCUCCCCCUCGAUGGCUCUAUCGUUGCUACCACCGUCAUCGGCCUCAACGUCUUUGCGGACUUUGGGGUUGUUGCCUCUGUCGCCGCCUUCACCGACGUCGUCGUCGUUGUUGUCAAGGAUGGAGAAGUCCAUCUCUAGAAAAAGCCACUGAGCUUGAGCUCAGCAUGCCUUGAAUUCCUUUCCAAAGGCAUUAGCUGCAGUCUCCAAGCCUUCUCUUGGAACUUGUCCAAAGCACAAUAUUCUUCGAUCGCUUCCGCGACCCUCGCCUUGGCAUGAAGGGCCCGCUCGCUGGCCUCAGCAAGUCGUUGGUUCGCCUCAUUGGCUCACUGUUUAGCCUCUCGAGCCCUUUGCUCGGCAUGGGCUAGCUUCGCAGAAAGAUCUGCCGCUCUCUCAUCAGUGGCUUUGAGGGCCUUCCUAGCCGCAGACAGUUGGUUCUCCUUCACCUCUUUCUAGGUACGCGCGGCUGAGGCAUGGGCUUCCACCGACAUGGACUCAUCCUCGGCCAACUUGGCCUUUGCCUCGGCCACCAUGGUCUUCGCCUCAGCUAGCUUGGCCCGCUCUAUAGCCGCCUUGCAUUGCCCCUCGAGCGUCAAAAUACACUUUGAGAAAACCGAUUGGCUCACUUAACACCCCGGACGAAAGUCUCGCCCUCAAUUGAGGUAACUACUAGAUUUCCAUCUCCGAAACCGAAAUAUAGUUUGGCCUUAGAAGUAGAGGACAAGUGAUGGGAAAAAUAUGGGACACCUCGACCUCAGGCUAGACUACCCCUUGACCUCAGACAUAAACCGAGGUCAACGACUUUAGCUCCAAUCGAGGAGUAGCCAACCGAUGAGAACCAUCAGCAUGCAUCGACUAGGACUGACAACCUUAGCAUUCCACAUUCAUGGCAUCUCCUUGUCCUACGUUAGACCUGCGCUGCACUCUGCCCAUGCGAACUGACCCCUGCACCACGACCGUAUCACUAGUUGCUGGCUGGCAUCAUUGCAUGUCAUGUAGGCCUAGAUAAUAACAAGACUUGUUUCCAUCGAGGACUUGAGGUACACGGAUAAUAAGCACUCACUAUCAUUCACAGAGACCACCCUUUACUAAGAUCUUUUUCUUCGACACUGUUGUCUCGUUAUUCUGACUUAGGCAUCAAAGGGUCUUCUAUCGAAAACUUUUCGGCAAAUGGACUUCUUGCAGGCCACUUAGCGGAGGAGACUAGUGCCCGAUGCCUCAACCAGCCUGCUCAGCUUGUCUCCAACUAACCUUAGGAUCGUCUGUAACAACCCAGGACCUUACCCAAAAUGGCUAGCCAGAAGGUAUUANNNNNNNNNNNNNNNNNNNNNNNNNNNNNNNNNNNNNNNNNNNNNNNNNNNCACACCCGCACGGUCCUCACAUCGUCCGACCUGCACUCCCACCUUGGUCCAGAUUCUACGGUAACAACAGGCAUUUUUUAUAUUAGUUAGAUUACCAACCAAUAAGGUAUAUGGAAAUGGCUGGUAUUAUGAGAAUGGUUUGAAAGUAGUUGUAGUUUGUAACUAAGAAUAUGUUUGGCUUUGUUUUUAUUCUUAUUUCUUAUUAUUAAAAAUAAAAUCAGAUAACUUAGAUGCUAUUACUUUUAUUUUUCUUUUUUAAUAUUAUUUUAGAAAAAUAUUCUUACUUUCACUAUAUUCAAAAAUAAGAAAUUUUGUCACUACCACCGUCACUGUCAUCAUUGCCACCGCCAACCUCUUCACUGCCACCAUUGCACUAUUGCUGCUGUUGCUUUCAUCACCGUCAUUACCAUUGCGGCUACUUUUGCCCUCAUCAGUUCAAGGACCAUUAUCAUUGUUGCCAUUGUCUUCAUUAUAAUUACUGUUGUUGCCACCACCACUAUGCCACAACCAUUAAUGCUACCACCCCUUUCCGCUUUUACUAUACCCCCUACCACUUUUGCUAUACCACCAUCCCUCCCACCCGCACCCCUCCCCUCCCAACUACCACAAAACAAUGUUACCUUGCAUCACUGGCAACCUUGCCGCUGCCGUAUCAUAUUUGUAUUUUUAAAAAUAAUUGACUAAAACAAAUAUAUUUAUAUUUUUUAAAAUAUAGAAAUAAAAGAAAUAUAAAUUUUAUUUUUUAUUUUUAAAAAUAUGAAAAAUGAAAAUAAUGCAAAAUGGCACCUAAAUUUACUUGUUUUGUGACUUGCAUCUCUGUCAUAAGGAAUAGUCGAAUGAAAUCUCUGGGACUUGAACAAGCACAUUUGAACGCUAAUACUGCAUAUGAUCUACAAAAUCUGCUUACCUUAUGCCCCUUCAGAAACCGAUUUAAGGACAGACAACUUAGUCACCACUUUACAGGCCAAUUCGAAUUCAGUAUCUACGCUUAGCUAAAUGCUGUCAUCAAGUCUUGAUGCUCUCCAUUUUGAUCUCUCUGUUAGUAUCCAAAAAGAUGAGAGCCAGGAAGCUCAAUGAAGGUACCGUUAAAAAAUAAUAAUUCAGUGGACCAUGCACUUCUCGACAGCACUUCAAUUAUGAAUGCUUCUUUAAGUUAGCAGCUCCAUUUGAUUGUCCCUGUGUUGCGUUAGAGAUUGACCAAUUUUACAGCAAACAAAAGCUUCUCCCUUUGCAGCGGGCCGUCUUCAUGGUCCACAAUCCGAGUAUCCCACCUCAUGCCAUCUGUAAUGCUCUUGAUCCCGACCAGAAUAUCGACAUCAUCUCUAAAGAUCACCGUGCCUUCUGGCCUUAAGAUCCUAUCCAUCUCCAACAAAAUAUCCUCCAUCUCACAUCUGAAUGGCAGUUUGCAGCACGUUAGGAUCAAUCCAAACUAAAAUUUUAGCUUACAGCAUCCUUUAACUACCUGUCUUUGUAAAGGGUGAACACCAAGUCAGCAUGGAGGAGAUCAUAAGUCCUGGGAUAAGUAGACAUGGCUUCACACCUACAACCAAAGGAAACAUUUAUGAUUUAAAGAAUCACAGGAGGAAUCGCUUCAGCAACUCUCUCAAGUUGAGAACUCACCAAUCAUGAUACGUUCCAAUUAAUCCACGCUCAUAGAUGACUCCAAGGGUGUCAGCCGUCGCAAUGGUCGGAACCAUGUUCAUGACCCACACUGGGUCAUCAAUCAGCGCAGUAGCAAAUCCUCCAAGCCCUGAAUUCAUGUCGAGUAGAUUGCGAUACCGCCCUUUCUGCGUUAAUUCUGUACUUGCUUCCUUGUAGUACCUCACUCUCCUCUUCCACAGCUCAGUAUCCUUCAAGAACAUCUUGGGUGCAACACCAUUGAUGCUUCCACUACCGAUCCUUGGCGGCACUGCCAUCAGUCUCUUAGGCCAUUUCUUCAGUUCUCCUCCCGCUUUCUCUUGCAUUCCAGCCACCUCAGGCUGGGGAGUGAUGCAGGCUUCCAUUUUUGUGUACCUUAAAAGAAUUCAGUCAGAACUUACUAACAGUAGCUUUAGCAAGCUCAAGCCGAUAAAGUUUCGUAGCCACAAGUAUACCAUGCAGCAUCCGGGUCUUGAGCUGAGCAGAACCCCGGCAUCAGCGAGGCCUUUCGGGUAGCAUUGCAUUCGAUAUGGUUGGCGGGCUUCUGCCAUAUUGCGAUGUCUCCCUUCUCCUUCAGCUUCUUCCAGCAGAGGCUCCUUGCGAUGGCUUCGAUGGUGGAUUGCAAAGCCCUUAGAUCUUUCUGUUUCAUCUGCCAGCCUUUCCAGUGUUGCUUCCAAUUGAUUGGUGGCCCUGAAAGAAUCCAGUACCCCCCAGGCCGAAGGAUUCGGUCGAUCUCAAUUAGGUAGAGCCCGUCUGUAUCGAAGCAUGACAAGGAUUGUAAACAUCAGCAAUGAUGAUUCUUAGAGGCCAAAGGAGAUCAAAAGGUGGUGGAAGAGGGGAGUGAGAUAACGGUAAUACCAUAGAGGUGCCAUGGAAUGAGGCAGCGAGAGCAGUGGGCCAUGUCGAAGGCCCUCGAGGGGUAGGGGAGGCGAUCGGUGGCGAAGAUGCCAAGCAUCGCAGGGACGCCGCGCUCGAGGGCGAGCUGGACCUGAGCCUUGUGGCUGUCCCUCGGUGCAAAGGACAUGGUAAGGAUGCUCCGAGAUAGAAGGUAAGCUCCCCAGCUAGCUACCUUUACAACAUGACAAGGUAAGAAAUCUAUAACAUUCAAACGAAAAAAAUGAAACAUAGAAAAAGAAAGAAGAAAUUAAGAAGAAAAAGAAGAUUAGAAAUAUUGAUUUUUCCUUGGGUUUUUUCUUUCUCUCUCUCACUCCUUUUCCAUUGGAAGCCCAGCAGGAAGGAGGAGCCUUCAUUGCAUGCAUGUAAGUUGUUUUUGAACAGAUAUGUAUGCGAACUGUUCAUGGAUGGGCCCUCACAAAUUUGGUACUUAGAAAACAGGAUUUUCUGAUUAUGAAGCAUAUAUUUGUUCCUUGGAAAUAACUGCUAAAAUAACAGCUUUGAUCUGUCACCUUCUGUAAAACUUUAAGUAGCACAGCUAUCAGCACUUGCAUAUUUCCUGGCCAUGCUUUCUACUAGUCCACAAUGUUAGUAAAUCUAAAAAUGAUUAUUUUCCUAGCUCUAUGUAGUUUGUUUCCUCAAUUUUCUUUUGUUGCAUGCCAGCUAUGAGAGGAAUUCUCAUGCUACUAGGAUUGAACCUAUAAACUGGCAGCCAUUUUUAGUCCACAACAUGGAUCCACAACAAGUGAAAUUUGUUUGGACUGGAGUAGAAGGGUAGAAAUAGCUUCUUGGUUUUUUUGGUAAUUAGAAAUAGCUAAUUGUUUAUCAGGAUAACUUAUCAAUAAUGAUGAUAUACAACUAUGGUAUUACAAAUUUUCAGGGAACUUACCCCUCAGUUCUUUGUUGGGAUGUUAUUUGAAUGGUUAGCUGAUGCAAAAUUAGUAUUUUAUAUUUACUUCUAAUACAAAUUGCACACUUCACAUCUACAUAAUUAGGCAUAUUUUAUAUGUAAUUAUGUUUGUUCUACAAACAGAUAUUCCAGCUUUGUACAUGGAAGAGGAAUUAAACAUAAAAUGGCGUCAAAAUUCUACAAAGAAAAAAAAAUCAUCAAAAUUAAGGAUUAGAAAUAAAAAUUUCAGCCAAGAGGUAUUAAAGGUUAAAUGGCAGCCAAGUUGAAAGGAAGUUGAGCUAAUAUGUACACAUCAUACGGUUUCUUAUUAUCUUUUCCUUCUUCCAAAAGAAUUCUAGAAACUCAUCAAUCUUUACAAAUAAUGUUACGUAAUCAGGAUUAUCCUUUAAUUAUGGCAUGAUAAUGAUACUGAUAUGGGGGAUCAAACUGAUUCUCCAAAUCUUCAUCAACAUAGUAUCAAAGCCCACUGAUCUUUUUCUGCCUAACAAAACCUCCAUGCUCUUAUUUAUUAAUACGAGUAUCAUCCCUCGUUCCGGAUUUUGUCCCUUGGACACUACAAUUGAGAGAAGGUGUUGAGGAACACAAGUUCAGGGUUAUAUUUAUCCUCAAUUAUACUGAUUUUCUUUCUAUAAUCUCAAAAAUAUUAGGAAAACAAUUUCAUCUCUCCCAAAAUAUCCUUGAAACAUAUGUUUCUAUGUCAACCAUUAAGGAUAAAAUUAGUAUUUUUAUCCCUAAUAAAUCAUCCAUGGUCAUAUUUGAUGCCAAAAAAAAUUGGGUUUACCCCAUGAACGACAUUAUCAGAUAUAUGUGGGACAAAACUACCACGAAGAAGAAUAAGUAUAAGGAUAAAUAAGCAAAUAAAUUAAAGAACUAAACCCACCCCGCAUCCGGCGUCCAGCGCUGUCCUGAUGGACCCAUCACGAAGAGGAAUCAGCCGUUCGAUCUCCUUGAUAUAAGCGUCGGCUCCCCAAGGAAACGUCGUCCCGCCGCCGGGGAACCGAAAGCGGUCGCCUUCCACCCCGACCCAGUUUUGCUUCCCCUUGUCCACUACCAACUUCGGGUGCGGCACGUUCGCGAACCACGCCGCGUCCCGGCUUUCCGGCCACGGCAGCGGCCGUUGGUACCCCGCCGGCGGCGGCACCAGGCAUCGAAGGAGCUCGUUCUUCGCUGGGCAGUGCCGCUCCAUGUGGGCGUGCCGCUCGCGCGGGAAUUUCGACGAACGGCUGUGAUCGUGGCAUGGGGUGUAAUCGGUGUACAUGGCGUCGCAAACGGGAAAGUGGCGGCGGCCGGCGGCGGCGGCGGAGCCGUGGUGGGCGGUGAAGUCGACGGCGAUGACGGUAGAGGAGAUGGCGGUGGCGGUAGUGUUGGAGGAGGAGGAGGAGAGUUUGGUGCAUGGGGGGGAGGGGUGGAGGGAGUAGGAGAAGGGGGCGGCGCCGCCGCCGGAGGUGCGCUGCAAGGCGGCGAGGAGGUACGAGGCGGAGCAGAGUAAGGCGAUGAGGAGGAGGAGGGGGAGGAGGUUGGGAAUCUUCUUCUGUGGAUUGGAGAGAGGGGUGGUCGUGGUCGUGACGUUGAGCAUUGUUGUUAGAGAAGUGCUCGACUUUUUUCUUCUUUCUGUUUUGGAUGUUUGUGCGGCCCUGGAGGUUGGAAGUUUGACGCAAUGGAGGAGGGGAGAUGGGGAGGUGAAGGGACGAAGGAGAUAGGGAUUGGUAUAAGGGAGGAUUUUUCCUUGAUGGCAAAUGCAUCCAAGUAUAUUUAGACUGUCUUUAAUGCAGCUCAGUGAAUGGUGAUGCUUAAAGAAGCCAUACUCGAGUGCAUAUCACAUGAACAAGGUGGAAAAAAAAAGGGAAAAGCUAAAUUUUUAAAAGAAAAUUGAAAAACUAAAAAUAAAAGAGUAAAUCAAAAAUAGAAUGUGUAUGAAUAUUUAAAUAAUAUUACACAUCAAAACAAGAAAGAGAGAGAAGCAGUAGUGGAUAUUAACCAAAGUAGCAGGGAUUUUUAGUUGAUAAAUUCGUAUGGUAUUACUUUUCUUAUAGGGAAAAAAAGAACUACGGAUGAUAUCAUUACUCUAUAGUUUAGACCAUAGUACGCUAUACCGACUCAAACAGAAUAGUAUGAGAUAUGUUGUACUGUACCAAUUUGGAGCAUACCAGUUUAGCAAUGGUUUGGAAUCAAAUGCCCAGUCGACAUAUGGUGGAGAUCGGAUCAAUUGGUUAAAUGGCCAUGUCGAUUCGAACCACUCGAGGCUUUAUAUAAUGCUUGUGGUUGGUGCUUCAUCUUCAUCUUGAAGUUUCUACAACCAGUCGUCUGAAAAGUGGCUGAGGAUGAACCAGCAUUUCUCCUCAAAUCCUUUCUCUUCUUCAUUCUUGAUGUUUGUUUUUCUAUUUUCCUACUGAAAUUUCUUUGCUUUAAGCUUUCAGUAGGCCUCCUUGGUUCUUCGUUCCGGUUCCUUCUCCUUGUUCUGCUCCUUUUUUCUCUUUAUUCCUUUCCCUCUCUUCAAGAGCAGUAACUACCCGCCGUAAGAUUGAUUUUUAAUUUUUGGAACGAGAGGGUUUCUUUAUUGGAAGUAAACUAAAGCAGACGGGUUGGGAGUUCAUGUGCUCUCUAGAUGUUCCUAUGUACCCCAACCUAGUAAGAGAGCUCUAUGACAUAUAAAGUUUGGGGUUGGGAGUUUGGAGUCCACAGUCAAAGCUCACAUCUAGCUAGACAUAUCGAGUUUGGAAAGAAUUUUGCACAUGCUGAUUACUAGACCUUCAAAUGACUACUUUAAAGAGCGUCGGAUAGGACUACAACUCAUUUUGGAAAAAGAAGAAGUACAUGACAAGAAGAAGUCAGUGCAAGCCAACCUUCAGUGGAGAUGAGACUUCUUCAUUAUAUGAUCAGCAGGAUCUUCUUCCCUAAGAUGGGAAGAUUUAAUUUUGUCUUAGAGAGAGACAUUUUGGUGAUGUUUCAUGUGCUCAGGGUGAGUCUCCUGAAUAUGCUUUUACUCAUGUUCCACCAUAUACACCAGGCAACAAGUAGGUCGAAGGUAUUUCUACCUUAUAGCAUGAUUCUAACCUUGGUAUUCAAGGAAUAUGGUGUAGUGCUUGAUGGAGAAACCUCAAGGGCACUGCUGCACACCGGCAUCUACAAUGAUCGGUCCCUAUAUCGAAUGGGUUAUUCCAAGAUAGACGGUUAUUGGAUACGACGUGGUGGUGCUGGGAGACAUAAUAAGUUUACAGAGGCUAGACCGAGUGAGCCCAUAGCCCCUAUUGAUGAGCACAUUGAGCCACCUGCUCCUAUGGAGAUGCAUUCGGCUGAGGAGCAUAGAGAAGAGGACUUCAUGGUAUCUUUUAACUUUCAACCUCCACAUCCAAAGACUAGCUCAAGUCACACUAUCAGAAUGGCAAGUGCUCACCAGACUGAAGGCUGCUGGAUUUACUAGUCAAGGGAGACAACAAGCCCCUGAGCCACCACAUGGCACUCUUUCUACUGAUCAGAGGUUGGAGCCUCAUAUUUCUUUGUUGACCCAGAUGGUUGCUGAGUUGAGGCAUGACGUCUGUGACAUUCAGUUCCUGGUGACUAGCUAGUAUAAGAGGAUUGCAGAUAAUGAGGGAGAGACUAGACACUUGCAUGCAUUAGUAAGAAGAGAAAUUAGUGAAUUCAUUGCAAAUGUUUAGUAGAUCAGUGAGCAGAUUUUGGAAACACUCAAAGAAGUUCAAGA